GCGUAAGAGCUCGAUAGGUCGUUUGUCGCGUCGAUUGUGAAAAUCUGAGGCUCAACCUCAGACCUGCAGUCGAUACGGGCAAACUAGAGUUUGGUAGGGGAGACUGGAAUUCCUGGUGUAGCGGUGGAAUGCGCAGAUAUCAGGAGGAACACCAAUGGCGAAGGCAGGUCUCUGGGCCAAUACUGACACUGAGGAGCGAAAGUCUGGGGAGCGAACAGGAUUAGAUACCCUGGUAGUCCAGACCGUAAACGGUGGGCACUAGUUGUGGGAACCUUCCACGGUUUCUGCGACGCAGCUAACGCAUUAAGUGCCCCGCCUGGGGAGUACGAUCGCAAGAUUAAAACUCAAAGGAAUUGACGGGGCCCCGCACAAGCAGCGGAGCAUGCGGCUUAAUUCGACGCAACGCGAAGAACCUUACCAAGGCUUGACAUAUAGGGAAAAGUGGCAGAGAUGUCAUGUCCGCAAGGGCUCUAUACAGGUGGUGCAUGGUUGUCGUCAGCUCGUGUCGUGAGAUGUUGGGUUAAGUCCCGCAACGAGCGCAACCCUCGUUCUGUGUUGCCAGCAUUUAGUUGGGGACUCACAGGAGACUGUCGGGGUUAACUCGGAGGAAGGUGGGGAUGACGUCAAAUCAUCAUGCCCCUUAUGUCUUGGGCUGCACGCAUGCUACAAUGGCCGGUACAGAGGGCUGCAAUACCGUAAGGUGGAGCGAAUC
RNAcentral lists this ribosomal RNA (712 nucleotides) under uncultured Actinomycetes bacterium. RNAcentral describes it as "bacterial SSU rRNA". It matches the Rfam family "Bacterial small subunit ribosomal RNA", at positions 558 to 1273 of the family's 1533-position model. The record is from RNAcentral. Lineage: Bacteria; Bacillati; Actinomycetota; Actinomycetes.